AUUGAACGCUGGCGGCAGGCUUAACACAUGCAAGUCGAACGAGUGGCGGACGGGUGAGUAAUGUCUGGGAAACUGCCCGAUGGAGGGGGAUAACUACUGGCAACGGUAGCUAAUACCGCAUACCAUCGGAUCUGCCCAGAUGGGAUUAGCUAGUUGGUGGGGUAACGGCUCACCUAGGCAACGAUCCCUAGCUGGUGUGAGAGGAUGACCAGCCACACUGGAACUGAGACACGGUCCAGACUCCUACGGGAGGCAGCAGUGGGGAAUAGUGGACAAUGGGCGAAAGCCUGAUGCAGCCAUGCCGCGUGUAUGAAGAAGGCCUUCGGGUUGUAAAGUACUUUCAGCGGGGAGGCGUUACCCGCAGAAGAAGCACCGGCUAACUCCGUGCCAGCCGCCGCGGUAAUAC
This 406-nucleotide ribosomal RNA is filed under the name uncultured bacterium. RNAcentral's name for it is "partial 16S ribosomal RNA". It matches the Rfam family "Bacterial small subunit ribosomal RNA", at positions 30 to 526 of the family's 1533-position model. The record is from RNAcentral.